Molecule: transfer RNA, 77 nt
Filed under: Caldithrix abyssi DSM 13497
Lineage: Bacteria; Pseudomonadati; Calditrichota; Calditrichia; Calditrichales; Calditrichaceae
Description: tRNA-Met
Rfam family: tRNA
About the family: Transfer RNA (tRNA) molecules are approximately 80 nucleotides in length. Their secondary structure includes four short double-helical elements and three loops (D, anti-codon, and T loops).
Source: RNAcentral
GGGCCCAUAGCUCAGUUGGUUAGAGCGGCCGACUCAUAAUCGGCUGGUCCGGGGUUCGAGUCCCUGUGGGCCCACUA